GGAUAUGGCGGCUUGCAUUACUAAUUGCUUGCUUGAAUGGGGUUAGAAUAAUGUGUUUACUAUUACAGUUGAUAAUGCUAGCUCUAAUGAUGUUACUGUGAAAGAAAUGUCUUAAGAAUUGAGCAAUUGGAGAACUAACAUUAUGGAUGGUGACCAUCUUCAUGUGUGGUGUAUGGCACAUAUCCUUAAUCUUAUUGUGCAAGAUGGGUUGAAG
RNAcentral lists this unclassified non-coding RNA (214 nucleotides) under Hevea brasiliensis (rubber tree). Lineage: Eukaryota; Viridiplantae; Streptophyta; Magnoliopsida; Malpighiales; Euphorbiaceae. The record is from RNAcentral.